GUAUGGAUUUGGAUUUGUGGCAGCUCCGUCCCCCUGGGUUUUCACAAUGUCCCACACCAGAGCAAGCUGUGGCCCAGAACCAUUGCCUGCCCCUGCCCAUAGGCUAUUGGCACUGAAGCAGGUUGUACAAUG
Small nucleolar RNA from Fukomys damarensis (Damara mole-rat), 132 nucleotides. Lineage: Eukaryota; Metazoa; Chordata; Mammalia; Rodentia; Bathyergidae. The record is from Ensembl.